AAUCGAACUCGGAGAUAGCUGGUUCUCCUCGAAAUAGCUUUAGGGCUAGCCUUGAGGUAAAGUCUAAUGGAGGUAAAGCACUGAUUGGACGCGGGUCCCCAAAAGGAUACCAACUUCUAUCAAACUCAGAAUGCCAUAUAGAUAUACUCAGGAGUCAGACUAUGUGAGAUAAGUUUCAUAGUCAAAAGGGAAAGAGCCCAGACCGACAGCUAAGGUCCCAAAGUGUGUGUUAAGUGGAAAAGGAUGUUAGGUUUCUAAGACAACUAGGAUGUUGGCUCAGAAGCAGCCACUCAUUUAAAGAGUGCGUAACAGCUCACUAGUCGAGAGGUCUAGCGCCGAAAAUGUCCGGGGCUAAAACACACCACCGAAGCUACGGAAUUACCUAUGGUAAUUGGUAGAGGAGCAUUCUGUAAGGAUGAAGCACAAUUGAAAGAGAGUGUGGACGAAACAGAAGAGAGAAUGCCGGAAUGAGUAGCGAGAUAUAUGUGAGAAUCAUAUAGGUCGAAUGUCUAAGGUUUCCUGGGUAAAGCUGAUCUGCUCAGGGUAAGUCGGGACCUAAGGUGAGGGCGAGAGCCGUAAUCGAUGGACAACAGGUAGAAAUUCCUGUACUACGUAUAAUCAGAACUGUGGGGACGCAGGAGGAUAGGAAAACCGGAGAAUGGAAAUAUCCGGCUAAGUACAAAGGUGUGAGUGAUAGGCAAAUCCGUCACUAUUAGCUGAAGUACGAAUGGGAGCGAAGAAAAGUAGCGAAGUUUCUGAAUCCACACUGUCAAGAAAAGCCGCUAUUGCGUUAUACGUACCCGUACCGCAAACCGACACAGGUAGACGAGGAGAAAAUCCACAGACCGACGGGAGAAGUGUUGUUAAGGAACUCGGCAAAAUGACCCCGUAACUUAGGGAUAAGGGGAGCCAACGCAAGUUGGUCACAGAAAAGAGGCUCAAGCGACUGUUUAGCAAAAACAUAGGUCUAUGCGAAACCGUAAGGUGAUGUAUAUGGGCUGACACCUGCCCGGUGCUGGAAGGUCAAAAGGAGAGGUUAGCGUAAGCGAAGCUUUGAAUUCAAGCCCCAGUAAACGGCGGCCGUAACUAUAACGGUCCUAAGGUAGCGAAAUUCCUUGUCAGGUAAGUUCUGACCCGCACGAAAGGUGUAACGAUUUGAGCACUGUCUCGACAACACGCCCGGUGAAAUUGAAGAACCAGUGAAGAUACUGGUUACCCGCAACAGGACGGAAAGACCCCAUGGAGCUUUACUGCAGCUUAAUAUUGGGAUUCGGUAUUGUAUGUACAGGAUAGGAGGGAGACUAAGAAGCUAGCACGCCAGUGUUGGUGGAGUCGAUGGUGGGAUACCUCUCUUAUAAUACUGAAUUUCUAACCUACUUCCGUGAUCCGGAAGAGGGACAUUGUUAGGCGGGCAGUUUGACUGGGGCGGUCGCCUCCGAAAGAGUAACGGAGGCGCUCAAAGGUCUUCUCAGAAUGAUUGGAAACCAUUCAAAGAGUGUAAAGGCAAAAGAAGGCUUGACUGCGAGAGUGACAACUCGAGCAGGUACGAAAGUAGGACUUAGUGAUCCGGUGGUAACAAGUGGGAGUGCCAUCGCUUAACGGAUAAAAGCUACCCUGGGGAUAACAGGCUUAUCUCCCCCAAGAGUUCACAUCGACGGGGAGGUUUGGCACCUCGAUGUCGGCUCAUCGCAUCCUGGGGCUGUAGUAGGUCCCAAGGGUUGGGCUGUUCGCCCAUUAAAGCGGUACGCGAGCUGGGUUCAGAACGUCGUGAGACAGUUCGGUCCCUAUCCGUUGUGGGCGUAGGAAAUUUGAUAGGAGCUGUCCUUAGUACGAGAGGACCGGGAUGGACGAACCUCUGGUGAAUCUGUUGGUAACCAAUGCCACAGCAGAAUAGCCAAGUUUGGAACGGAUAAACGCUGAAGGCAUCUAAGCGUGAAGCCAACCUAAAGACUAGAUUUCCCAUGCGAAAGCAGUAAGACUCCUUGU
This 1986-nucleotide ribosomal RNA is filed under the name human gut metagenome. Its description in RNAcentral is "bacterial LSU rRNA". It matches the Rfam family "Bacterial large subunit ribosomal RNA", at positions 831 to 2841 of the family's 2925-position model. The record is from RNAcentral.